GACGAACGCUGGCGGCGUGCUUAACACAUGCAAGUGGAGCGACGAACCAGGCUUCGGCCUGGGGCAGAGCCGCGAACGGGUGAGUAACACGUGGGUAACCUGCCCUGAUGAUUGGGACAACCCGAGGAAACUCGGGCUAAUACCAAAUGUGCCCUCCGGCCGUAAGGCCUGUGGGGAAAGGAAGCUUCGGCCUCCGCAUCGGGAUGGGCCCGCGGCCCAUUAGCUUGUUGGUGAGGUAACGGCUCACCAAGGCUACGAUGGGUAGCUGGUCUGAGAGGACGAUCAGCCACACUGGGACUGAGACACGGCCCAGACUCCUACGGGAGGCAGCAGUGGGGAAUCUUGCGCAAUGCGCGAAAGCGUGACGCAGCAACGCCGCGUGGGGGAAGAAGGCU
RNAcentral lists this ribosomal RNA (395 nucleotides) under uncultured bacterium. RNAcentral's name for it is "bacterial SSU rRNA". It matches the Rfam family "Bacterial small subunit ribosomal RNA", at positions 28 to 416 of the family's 1533-position model. The record is from RNAcentral.